ACCUGCAGUCGAGCGGAACGAGUUAUCUGAACCUUCGGGGAACGAUAACGGCGUCGAGCGGCGGACGGGUGAGUAAUGCCUAGGAAAUUGCCCUGAUGUGGGGGAUAACCAUUGGAAACGAUGGCUAAUACCGCAUGAUGCCUACGGGCCAAAGAGGGGGACCUUCGGGCCUCUCGCGUCAGGAUAUGCCUAGGUGGGAUUAGCUAGUUGGUGAGGUAAGGGCUCACCAAGGCGACGAUCCCUAGCUGGUCUGAGAGGAUGAUCAGCCACACUGGAACUGAGACACGGUCCAGACUCCUACGGGAGGCAGCAGUGGGGAAUAUUGCACAAUGGGCGCAAGCCUGAUGCAGCCAUGCCGCGUGUAUGAAGAAGGCCUUCGGGUUGUAAAGUACUUUCAGUCGUGAGGAAGGCGGCGUCGUUAAUAGCGGCGUUGUUUGACGUUAGCGACAGAAGAAGCACCGGCUAACUCCGUGCCAGCAGCCGCGGUAAUACGGAGGGUGCGAGCGUUAAUCGGAAUUACUGGGCGUAAAGCGCAUGCAGGUGGUUUGUUAAGUCAGAUGUGAAAGCCCGGGGCUCAACCUCGGAAUAGCAUUUGAAACUGGCAGACUAGAGUACUGUAGAGGGGGGUAGAAUUUCAGGUGUAGCGGUGAAAUGCGUAGAGAUCUGAAGGAAUACCGGUGGCGAAGGCGGCCCCCUGGACAGAUACUGACACUCAGAUGCGAAAGCGUGGGGAGCAAACAGGAUUAGAUACCCUGGUAGUCCACGCCGUAAACGAUGUCUACUUGGAGGUUGUGGCCUUGAGCCGUGGCUUUCGGAGCUAACGCGUUAAGUAGACCGCCUGGGGAGUACGGUCGCAAGAUUAAAACUCAAAUGAAUUGACGGGGGCCCGCACAAGCGGUGGAGCAUGUGGUUUAAUUCGAUGCAACGCGAAGAACCUUACCUACUCUUGACAUCCAGAGAACUUUCCAGAGAUGGAUUGGUGCCUUCGGGAACUCUGAGACAGGUGCUGCAUGGCUGUCGUCAGCUCGUGUUGUGAAAUGUUGGGUUAAGUCCCGCAACGAGCGCAACCCUUAUCCUUGUUUGCCAGCGAGUAAUGUCGGGAACUCCAGGGAAACUGCCG
This 1120-nucleotide ribosomal RNA is filed under the name Vibrio sp. Its description in RNAcentral is "bacterial SSU rRNA". It matches the Rfam family "Bacterial small subunit ribosomal RNA", at positions 53 to 1154 of the family's 1533-position model. The record is from RNAcentral. Lineage: Bacteria; Pseudomonadati; Pseudomonadota; Gammaproteobacteria; Vibrionales; Vibrionaceae.